RNAcentral lists this ribosomal RNA (301 nucleotides) under uncultured bacterium. RNAcentral describes it as "partial 16S ribosomal RNA". It matches the Rfam family "Bacterial small subunit ribosomal RNA", at positions 509 to 808 of the family's 1533-position model. The record is from RNAcentral.
CAGCCGCCGCGGUAAUACGGAGGGUGCAAGCGUUAAUCGGAAUUACUGGGCGUAAAGCGUGCGUAGGCGGUUCGUUAAGUCUGUUGUGAAAGCCCCGGGCUCAACCUGGGAAUGGCAAUGGAUACUGGCGAGCUAGAGUGUGUCAGAGGAUGGUGGAAUUCCCGGUGUAGCGGUGAAUGCGUAGAGAUCGGGAGGAACAUCAGUGGCGAAGGCGGCCAUCUGGGACAACACUGACGCUGAGGCGCGAAAGCGUGGGGAGCAAACCGGAUUAGAUACCCGUGUAGUCCCUGUCUCUUAUACC